GACGAACGCUGGCGGCGUGCCUAAUACAUGCCAGUAGAACGCUGAAGGAGGAGCUUGCUUCUCUGGAUGAGUUGCGAACGGGUGAGUAACGCGUAGGUAACCUGCCUGGUAGCGGGGGAUAACUAUUGGAAACGAUAGCUAAUACCGCAUAAUAGUAGAUGUUGCAUGACAUUUGCUUAAAAGGUGCAAUUGCAUCACUACUAGAUGGACCUGCGUUGUAUUAGCUAGUUGGUGAGGUAACGGCUCACCAAGGCGACGAUACAUAGCCGACCUGAGAGGGUGAUCGGCCACACUGGGACUGAGACACGGCCCAGACUCCUACGGGAGGCAGCAGUAGGGAAUCUUCGGCAAUGGACGGAAGUCUGACCGAGCAACGCCGCGUGAGUGAAGAAGGUUUUCGGAUCGUAAAGCUCUGUUGUAAGAGAAGAACGAGUGUGAGAGUGGAAAGUUCACACUGUGACGGUAUCUUACCAGAAAGGGACGGCUAACUACGUG
RNAcentral lists this ribosomal RNA (495 nucleotides) under uncultured bacterium. RNAcentral describes it as "partial 16S ribosomal RNA". It matches the Rfam family "Bacterial small subunit ribosomal RNA", at positions 28 to 507 of the family's 1533-position model. The record is from RNAcentral.